AUUGAACCCAGGUCUCACACGUUGUAGGCAGACGCUUUAUUGUCUGAGGCACCAGGGAAGUCCAAUGGCAGUAUGUCUAAUGUGGCUGUCCCGAAAUGGAGUGGUUUACGGAAGGGGUUGGUAGCACACAGGAGUGUUGUUGAGCGGCCACUGGAUGUCAAGGCACCUCAAGUUAGGGAGAGGGGUUCUUCAAACUAACAAAACUCUUUUAAAAACUCUAUGUGUUAGCCAAGGAAAGCCUCACCCAGAUCACUAACCCUAAUUUGCAGGCAAGGAAAUCGGAGCACAUACAGGUCAGGGGAACAGCGCACAGUUGUAGAGUGAGUCACUGGCCAGGACUGGACACACACUUCCUGACCUCUCGACCAGGACGCCGGCCAUAGCCCUGCCUCUGGCCCCGGCAGCUCCGAGCUGACCUAGCGCGCCAAUGUGCUGAUGUCACCACGAGGGGGAGCCAGAUGCCCGUUCAUGCAGUAGCCGGGCCCAGGCUGCGGGGUGGAGGGACUGCUCCUCUGAGAGCCUCAUCCGCACAGCUGUGCGUGGAGCUGGUGAAGAAAGCGGACGAAGAGUUGGGCGCUUAUAAGAGGGCCGAAGCUCUGGAGCAGUGGCUGGGAGGGAGGGAGGACGAGGGAAGGGCAUUUGUUGCCUCCUCUGGUCCUGCUUGGUCUGGCCCUGUUGGGAAAGGAGCAGAGCUGGAGAAAGGAAGGGCUUUCCUGAGCACAGGCUUUCUGCCCCCGCCUCCGCUCGGCUCGGUCUUGCUUAAGAGCAGACCGGACAUUCCUAAAGCUCCGGCAGGAAACCGGGAAAUAGACGGGGAGGCCGGCGGCUCUGCAGCCCGCCAGUUCUUGCAAAGCAACGCUCUCCCCCGCGCCCCACCCCCAAGCCCUAGGCGCCUGGACCCUGCACCCUCCUAGAACUGCCCUCCUGACCUGCUGGCCCCUUCCUCCCAGCCUAUGGGAUCAGACCCAUUCCCUGAGCUCCAGUCCCUGAAAGAAAGUGUUAUCCACCACCGACCCCCAGGUGGAACUCAUAAUCUGUCCGCCUAAACCUGGCUGUCUUCCAGAGUUCCUUCCCUCAGUGAAUGCGAGUCUUGCAGGGAUCUUAGUUCAUCUCCAGCCAGGAAUGGAACCUAUGCCUCCUGCAGUGGAUAUGUGGAGUCUUAACCACUGGACAGCCAAGGAAGUCCCAUCUGAUAAACCUUUCAAAUCCUCAUUCUGAUCCUGUCACCUACCUGCUGAAAUCUCUCAACAGCUUCCAGUGGCUCUUGCAAUAAAGACCAAACUCUUAUUAGCAUGGCCCAUAAAGUCCUGUGAGGUCCGGUCCUUCCUCCCUCUCUGGUCCCAUCCUCCUCCUUAUUCUCUCUGUUUCAAAUGCACUGGCCAAGGUAAUCACAGGCCCUUU
This is a long non-coding RNA of Bos taurus (domestic cattle), 1401 nucleotides long. NCBI's taxonomy places the organism in Eukaryota, Metazoa, Chordata, Mammalia, Artiodactyla, Bovidae. The record is from Ensembl.